UACAGAGGGUGCAAGCGUUAAUCGGAAUUACUGGGCGUAAAGGGUGCGUAGGUGGUUUUAUAAGUUAGGUGUGAAAGCCCUGGGCUUAACCUGGGAAUUGCGCUUAAGACUGUAAAACUAGAGUACUGUAGAGGGAGGUGGAAUUUCCGGUGUAGCGGUGAAAUGCGCAGAUAUCAGGAGGAACACCGGUGGCGAAGGCGGGUCUCUGGGCCGAUACUGACGCUGAGGAGCGAAAGCGUGGGGAGCAAACAGG
This 253-nucleotide ribosomal RNA is filed under the name uncultured bacterium. RNAcentral describes it as "partial 16S ribosomal RNA". It matches the Rfam family "Bacterial small subunit ribosomal RNA", at positions 524 to 776 of the family's 1533-position model. The record is from RNAcentral.